Molecule: small RNA, 658 nt
Filed under: Malus domestica (apple)
Lineage: Eukaryota; Viridiplantae; Streptophyta; Magnoliopsida; Rosales; Rosaceae
Description: sRNA MD13G0062400
Source: RNAcentral
UCUUCUCAUCUUCUUCUAUCUCCAUGCUUUUGUAUUGUGAGAUCUCCACUAAUGGGGUCCCUUGAAGCAUAAUAAUUGAUGAGAGGCACCUUUGUUCUUGUGGCUUUUUGAUUCACUGGACCUUCUCCUACUGACCCAAAAAUACCAGGGGCCAUUUCGGCAUCAUCCUGGAAUCUCCUUUACUUGCCAUGGAAUAUAUUAAAGCGACGAAAGGAGCUCCAAGUACAGCAGCUGGCAGACCAAGUGAAUGUUAAGCACUGGGAUGGCAAGUCCUUGGAAGAUCAAUAAUCAUUGAAUUUUGAAUCCAGUGAUCAAACUCUUGACGACAACCCAAGAAAUCCCGAGAUCAAUCCGAUAUCGAUCGACUUUUACGAUUUGUUGUUGGCCACUGUGAUUUGUGACCUUCUUUUCUUUUUUCUUCUUCUCUUUUCUGAUCAAAAUUUUCUUUUUAUUCAGUCCUUUGGAUAUGGAUUACAGAAUUAAAGCUAACAAUCCCUUUGGAAUAUAUUUCUUUUUGAGACUUUUAUGCAGAGUGAGAGCCUGUAGAUUGCCCUUUAUGUCAUUUCCAUUUGUUUAGAGAGAGAAAAAGAAGGGAGAGAGAGGUUGUGUUGCUUUGUACCAAGACAAUACUUAUUCAGAGUUUUAUCCUUUGUACCCG